CUUUUGAAGCUGGAUUUUGACUUCCAAUUUUCUUUGGUUUGAAGAGGGUUAGAAAUGGCAAACACCAAGUGGAAUAAAUUGUGCAUGGACGAAGAUGAUCUAAUGUUCAAUGUCGAAGUGCGAUACAAACAUGGUAUUUUGCUGCAAAUGCAAACUUCUUGGUCAGAUCGAAAUCCCGGAAGACGAUUUUGGUCUUGUACUCACUAUGAGGAGCAACUGUAUUUGGAGGAGGAGUGUGUGGAGGAGCAGCAGUGUUAGGAGGAGCAACAACAUUGAUUGAAAGAGCAACAACAGUGUUUGAAGGAAGAGCAGCAGAACCAUUAAAAGCAGCCCAUUUAUUAAAAGUUGAACAAGAUUCCUCCUCAGGAAUGUGCACAUAUACUUCCGAAACAGCCCCAUGUUGUAAAGACUUACUAAUUGCUAAACGAGCCCUGUCAUUAUCAAUAUCUCCUAAAAUGCUACAGUUAGA
Molecule: non-coding RNA, 469 nt
Organism: Nicotiana tabacum (common tobacco)
Lineage: Eukaryota; Viridiplantae; Streptophyta; Magnoliopsida; Solanales; Solanaceae
Source: RefSeq, a predicted model, not a curated record